AUGUACACAUAUAUUAUUAUUUUUCAUCUAGGUUUUUAUUUUAAUAUGGCCCAUAAAUCUCAAUUUCUGUUCCCAUGCUCUUUGAUGUUAAAUAAGUAUCAACAUUCAGUAGGUCAUAAGCCACACCUUACAGAAGCAGCAAAGUCAACACUGCUCAUUUUUUUCUUUUUCUUUUUUAUAAUUUGCAAAGCAGUGGCACUCAGAGAACCUCCCAUCUGCGGGUUCACUCUUCAGAUGCCUACCAGGGCCCAGGAACCUGGAGCUGGGAACUCAAUCCAUUUCUCCCAAGUUAGGUGGCAGGGAUCUAUUCACUUGAACCAUAUUCACUGCCUCCCAGGACCUGCAUUGACAGAAAGCUGGAACUGGGAACUGGAGCUGGGAAUUGAACACAAACACUCCAAGACUUGAAGGACUUGGAGCAGCCCAGCCCUGAUAACCACUCUCAGAUAUUUUCCUAUAUAGAAGUAGAACAGAGAUGGAACUGAGCAGUCAACAAACUGGAGGUAAACAUGAAGCCAGCUAUGCAGUCUAGAAGGAAGAGCUCUCCUGCCACUUGUCUUCAAUGCAAUCCUCAGGGUCUGGUUCCAGACCUCUUCUCCAAUAUGAAACCCUCUACCUGUGUAAUACUUAAUCAUAAUAUUUACUAUGUGAGGAUAUUGUGAGGAUUAGAUGAGAUAAUCUACUAAAAGUGCUUUGCUCAGUGCCAGAUACAUAGGAACUCAAUGCCUGUUGGCAAAUAUCACUAAUCAUUCUAUGGUUUUGGUUAUCACUGAUGACAUAACCGUCUGUAAUUCAGAUCUCUUCUCUCAGUACUAGACCUGAAUAUUCAGUUCUAUAUUAGAGGAAAUGUCUACAUGGAUGCAUUUAGAUUUCUAAAACUCAGCAUGCUUCAAACAAUUUAUGUCUAAUCUUUGUUGCACAUCUAUAGUCUGUUCUGCUAGUCUCUGUGAAUGGCAUCACCACCCGUCCGGUGCGCAGGCAAGGAACCUGGCAAUGGUCACCAGGUCUUCCUAAAUAUUAUUCAAAUCUACCCAUCUUUUCUCUAAUCACAUCCUGACUCACUAAUGAUGGACACUGAGCUUUGCAUGGAUCAUUCUGUCAUUUUUCCCGCUGCUAUUAUACCCUCAAGUCUGUGCUUAUGGUAGCUGACUGAUCUUUCUACAAUUGCAAAAGCAAUAUCAUUUCCCUAUUUUAAUCUUUCACUCACUCUCCCUUAGAUGUCAGGAAAACCCAAAUGCUGACUACAUAAAGCUCUUCAUCAUGUCCUUUCUACACUCCCCCUACGCAUACACUAAUGUUUAGCGGCUGAAUUAUAUUGAACACUCGAGCUUCUUUUGUCUCCACAUCUUUGCACAUGUUGUGUUUUCGUCUGGCUCAGACUUUCUUUCUUCUGAAUCAGGCUAUGUCC
RNAcentral lists this long non-coding RNA (1408 nucleotides) under Oryctolagus cuniculus (rabbit). RNAcentral describes it as "lncRNA (ENSOCUG00000037352.1)". The record is from RNAcentral. Lineage: Eukaryota; Metazoa; Chordata; Mammalia; Lagomorpha; Leporidae.